GCGGAAUUAGUUUAGUCUGGUAUGACGUCAUCUUCCCAAGUUGAAGGUCACGGGUUCAAAUUCCGUAUUCCGCA
Molecule: transfer RNA, 74 nt
Filed under: Candidatus Nitrosopumilus sp.
Lineage: Archaea; Thermoproteati; Nitrososphaerota; Nitrososphaeria; Nitrosopumilales; Nitrosopumilaceae
Description: Nitrosopumilus sp. tRNA-Gly
Rfam family: tRNA
About the family: Transfer RNA (tRNA) molecules are approximately 80 nucleotides in length. Their secondary structure includes four short double-helical elements and three loops (D, anti-codon, and T loops). Further hydrogen bonds mediate the characteristic L-shaped molecular structure. tRNAs have two regions of fundamental functional importance: the anti-codon, which is responsible for specific mRNA codon recognition, and the 3' end, to which the tRNAs corresponding amino acid is attached (by aminoacyl-tRNA synthetases). tRNAs cope with the degeneracy of the genetic code in two manners: having more than one tRNA (with a specific anti-codon) for a particular amino acid; and 'wobble' base-pairing, i.e. permitting non-standard base-pairing at the 3rd anti-codon position.
Source: RNAcentral